This is a long non-coding RNA of Pan troglodytes (chimpanzee), 370 nucleotides long. RefSeq lists it as uncharacterized. The record is from RefSeq and is a predicted model, not a curated record. Lineage: Eukaryota; Metazoa; Chordata; Mammalia; Primates; Hominidae. The transcript is spliced from 2 exons.
AUGGAGUCUCGCUCUUGUUGCCUAGGCUGAAGUGCAGUGGCACGAUCUCGGCUCACUGCAGCCUCCGCCUCCCGGGUUCAAGCGAUUCUCCUGCCUCAGCCUCCCAAGUGGCUGGAAUUACAGAGAAAGGAGAGGAAGAUUUGGACACAGACACACAGAGAAGAGGUCAAAGUGAAGACAGAACCAGAGAUUGGAGUUUUGCUGCCAUAAGCCAAGAAACCAAGAGCCAAGAAACACCAGAAGGUAGGAGAAAGGCAAGGAAGAACUUCCCCUCUAAAGCCUUCAAAGAAAAUAUAACCCUGCCAGCACCUUGAUUUCAGACUUCUGGCUCCAGAACUGUGAGAGAAUAAAUGUCUGUUAUUUUAAGCUA